This 348-nucleotide unclassified non-coding RNA is filed under the name soil metagenome. RNAcentral's name for it is "partial contains 5.8S ribosomal RNA, internal transcribed spacer 2, and large subunit ribosomal RNA". The stretch from base 1 to 120 matches the Rfam family "5.8S ribosomal RNA", at positions 35 to 154 of the family's 154-position model. The record is from RNAcentral.
GAUGAAGAACGUAGCGAAAUGCGAUAACUAAUGUGAAUUGCAGAAUUCCGUGAAUCAUCGAGUCUUUGAACGCACAUUGCGCCCCCUGGUAUUCCGGGGGGCAUGCCUGUCCGAGCGUCAUUGCUGCCCAUCAAGCACGGCUUGUGUGUUGGGUCCUCGUCCCCCCCGGGGGACGUGCCCGAAAGGCAGCGGCGGCACCGCGUCCGGUCCUCAGCGUAUGGGGCUUUGUCACCCGCUCUGCAGGCCCGGCCGGCGCUGGCCGACGCGAAAGCAACCAUUUUUUCUCCAGGUUGACCUCGGAUCAGGUAGGGAUACCCGCUGAACUUAAGCAUAUCAAUAAGCGGAGGA